RNAcentral lists this ribosomal RNA (253 nucleotides) under uncultured bacterium. Its description in RNAcentral is "partial 16S ribosomal RNA". It matches the Rfam family "Bacterial small subunit ribosomal RNA", at positions 524 to 776 of the family's 1533-position model. The record is from RNAcentral.
UACAGAGGUCUCAAGCGUUGUUCGGAUUCAUUGGGCGUAAAGGGUGCGUAGGCGGUGCAGCAAGUCGGGUGUGAAAUCCCUCAGCUCAACUGAGGAAUGGCGCCCGAAACUGCUGUGCUCGAGGAAGAUAGAGGUACGCGGAACUUAGGGUGGAGCGGUGAAAUGCGUUGAUAUCCUAAGGAACACCGGUGGCGAAAGCGGCGUACUGGGUCUUUUCUGACGCUGAGGCACGAAAGCUAGGGUAGCGAACGGG